UUAAUUUUCACGUUGUCAUGAAUCUCAUUUAAAAGUUUUACAUCUUAUACCAGGUUUUUGAAACAUUUGUUGAAUCUACACUAUUGUACAACCAACAUUUGUCCUUGACUACCCAGUUGAGAUAUCACCAUUGGCAAAACCACAUCGGAGCAUCAUAGUACAGCUGUCACGUCCCUGAGGAUGUAGCUGUGGGAGCUCGCUGGCCACCGGUUUCGUACCCGUGGUGGAUGGUGGCAAGGUAGGUAGCAGGGAGAUGAGAUAACAGAGAAAAUAGGUGAAAAUGGGAUUGGCUGUAAUUGCUUGUUUAUUGCUGAACCAGACCUUCCUGAUUAAUCCCAAAUACCCCUCCUUUUGCCUAAUUAGCCCCUGUUACGAGCGCCUAUAAAUGUUCCCGACCAUAACAAUAGCUCAAGGUUACACCUGGAAACUGGGGAGAAAAGGAAGAUGUAAUUCAGUCUGAGUUUUAUAAUAUGUUAUUUAGGUGAUCAUUAAGAUAGAUGGAAA
Long non-coding RNA from Zea mays, 504 nucleotides. RefSeq lists it as uncharacterized. The record is from RefSeq and is a predicted model, not a curated record. NCBI's taxonomy places the organism in Eukaryota, Viridiplantae, Streptophyta, Magnoliopsida, Poales, Poaceae. The transcript has 2 exons.